Molecule: ribosomal RNA, 550 nt
Filed under: uncultured bacterium
Lineage: Bacteria
Description: bacterial SSU rRNA
Rfam family: Bacterial small subunit ribosomal RNA
Source: RNAcentral
UAGGGAAUCUUCGGCAAUGGGGGGAACCCUGACCGAGCAACGCCGCGUGAGUGAAGAAGGUUUUCGGAUCGUAAAGCUCUGUUGUUAAGGAAGAACGAGUGUGAGAAUGGAAAGUUCAUACUGUGACGGUACUUAACCAGAAAGGGACGGCUAACUACGUGCCAGCAGCCGUGGUAAUACGUAGGUCCCGAGCGUUGUCCGGAUUUAUUGGGCGUAAAGCGAGCGCAGGCGGUUAGAUAAGUCUGAAGUUAAAGGCAGUGGCUCAACCAUUGUAGGCUUUGGAAACUGUUUGACUUGAGUGCAGAAGGGGAGAGUGGAAUUCCAUGUGUAGCGGUGAAAUGCGUAGAUAUAUGGAGGAACACCGGUGGCGAAAGCGGCUCUCUGGUCUGUAACUGACGCUGAGGCUCGAAAGCGUGGGGAGCGAACAGGAUUAGAUACCCUGGUAGUCCACGCCGUAAACGAUGAGUGCUAGGUGUUAGGUCCUUUCCGGGACUUAGUGCCGCAGCUAACGCAUUAAGCACUCCGCCUGGGGAGUACGACCGCAAGGUUG